UCGGGUGUGGUGUACGGAACACCGCGUGCCGUCAUGUUGUUGAAGUGUCGAAAUGAUGCUAACGCGCAGUCCGGGGUUCGACUCCCCGCACCCGAA
Molecule: non-coding RNA, 96 nt
Organism: Mycena latifolia
Lineage: Eukaryota; Fungi; Basidiomycota; Agaricomycetes; Agaricales; Mycenaceae
Source: the annotation of a GenBank genome assembly